Molecule: transfer RNA, 195 nt
Rfam family: tRNA (bases 118-184)
GCACCUGUAGCUUAACCGGUAAACGGGACCUCCAUGUGAGGCUCGUCAAACCCCGGCCGACGCAGCGAUAGCCGUUUCUUCCAGGGCUUCACUAUCGCAGCAUCGCCUCGGCGCGAGAGCGGAACGGAACGGGUCCCCAAAAGCACCAGCCUUGGGAGCUGGAGAGUGCGGGUUCGAAUCCCGUCAGGUGCGCCA